CGUUAUGAGUAGCGUGGGCGGGAAAGCGUCUGUGAGGGAGUGGGUGGUAUCUGCGCAGAAGUGCAUUUGCGCAGACGGAGUGGGAGGUUCUGAGAAGUUAACAGCCCUGUGGUUCUUUAACUGUGCAUAGCUGUACAGUAUCCCUGUGGCUCGUAUUCACCUUCAAAGCUCCAUGUGGCAGUGCCUCGUUUAAAGAGCACAGACAUGUACUGGGGUCUGCUCAUCUUCCUUUGCUCCACCAGACAAGGAUGCCAGGCAGGCAUUUCAUAGUGAACCCUAUAUUUUGUACAAUCUGAAGACACAUUAUGCUUGCUGGUGCAACAUCUAAAAGAGGAAUUUAAAUCCCGUGUUUCUGCCUGCCUGCUUUCCAGUUUACAACUGUAUCAUCAAUGGCAACAAACAACUUCAUUCUACGACUGGGAGGCCGCAGAGUAUUUACCUGCAGAAAUCUACGUAUCAAGCAGUCACAACGCAUUAUCUAAAACCUCUGAAAAAGGUUAGUAAAUUUUUUUUGUUUGUUCUCUGAUCCAGUGAGCAUUGGAUUUCUCCUUUGGAAUUGUUUGGUCUGACCAGCUGAGUACGUUCUUUGCAUACCUGCAUACCAUAACCUGAUAAUAUGCUUUGACAUUUCUAGUUCCCAUUUUUAUUUGCUACAUAAUUAUGAUAGUUGAUAGUUUUAAUUGCAAAUCCACAGCUUAGAGCCUACUUUCAAUUCUUAAGUUCUAAAAAUAAUUGAAUUGUAUAUCAGCGUUAAUAUUUAUGCUGUAUCUCAGUAUAUAAGAACUGCUUAAGUUUUGAGUGCAAAAUCUCACAAAAGGCCUCAAUGAAGGUGAACUGUAACCAUUUUUUCUGCUUUUUGUUUGUAGUUAUAGUGUCUUUAACAAUACAAUAAAUCUUUUUACUCAAAUUACAUUGAAAAAUGACUUGAAAGGUUGUCAGUAGUUACAGUGUUUCUUCAGCCAAAAUUAGUCUAGAUGUUCUAUUCCAGCUGAGGCAAAUUCAUCUUUUAUCUUGUUUUUUAGGUUCAAACAUAUCUAUUCAGAAAGACUAUAUCUCUAUGUAAAAAUUACAAUAUCAUGCUAAAAUAUCAAUAUUAUGUAUAUGUGAGCGUGUGUGUAUAUAGUUAAAGUUGUGUGUGAUGAAAUUCAGUGUGAUGUAAAACAGUAGUUUGUCUUGAAAUGUUCUCAGUCAUAAUAGAAUCAUUUGAAUUGGAAGGACCCUUAAAGGUCAUCUAGUCCAACUCUCCUUCAGUGAGCAGGGACACCUACAUUACAUCAGGUGCUCCUCAGAGCCCCGUGCAGGCUGAUCUUGAGCGUAUCCAUGUAUGGAGCAUCCACCACCUUUCUGAGCAACCAGAGUGCCUCACCAUCCUUAUUGU
Meleagris gallopavo (turkey) is the source of this 1378-nucleotide non-coding RNA. Lineage: Eukaryota; Metazoa; Chordata; Aves; Galliformes; Phasianidae. The record is from RefSeq and is a predicted model, not a curated record.